This 614-nucleotide ribosomal RNA is filed under the name uncultured archaeon. RNAcentral's name for it is "bacterial SSU rRNA". It matches the Rfam family "Archaeal small subunit ribosomal RNA", at positions 1 to 603 of the family's 1478-position model. The record is from RNAcentral.
UCCGGUUGAUCCUGCCAGAGGCCGCUGCUAUCCGGCUGGGACUAAGCCAUGCUAGUCUAGGGGCUUGUACCCCUUCGGGGGUGCAAGCACCGGCGGACGGCUCAGUAACACGUGGACAACCUGCCCUCGGGUGGGGGAUAACCCCGGGAAACUGGGGCUAAUCCCCCAUAGGUGAUGGGUGCUGGAAUGCCCCAUCUCCGAAAGCGCUCAGCGCCCGAGGAUGGGUCUGCGGCGGAUUAGGUAGUUGGUGGGGUAACGGCCCACCAAGCCUAAGAUCCGUACGGGCUGUGGGAGCAGGAGCCCGGAGAUGGACCCUGAGACAAGGGUCCAGGCCCUACGGGGCACAGCAGGCGCGAAACCUCCGCAAUGCGGGAAACCGCGACGGGGUUAGCCGGAGUGCCCGUGCAUCGCACGGGCUGUCGGGGUGCCUAAACAGCACCCCAUAGCAAGGGCCGGGCAAGGCCGGUGGCAGCCGCCGCGGUAAGACCGGCGGCCCGAGUGGCGGCCACUCUUAUUGGGCCUAAAGCGUCCGUAGCCGGCCCAGUAAGUCCCCCGGGAAAUCUGGUCGCUUAACGAUCAGACUUCCCGGGGAUACUGCUGGGCUAGGGACCGGG